This 759-nucleotide long non-coding RNA is filed under the name Drosophila guanche. Lineage: Eukaryota; Metazoa; Arthropoda; Insecta; Diptera; Drosophilidae. The record is from RNAcentral.
CUCAAAUCAGACACUAAAAAUGCCAAAUUUAACAUUAUAUUUAAGGAUUUUUAAUAUUUGUUAAUAAUGAAACAAAAUAUAUAUUCCUAGCAGUCCACAACCCUGAAAAUAACGUAUAUUAAGCCCACUGUGCAAACAAGGGGCUUCAGGAAUUGGAUUGCUUGCUGAACUCGUCUGUGGUGCCGUUCGUCUCCCUCCUCGUGCGAGUAUUGUAUUCAAUUUUUGUCAACAACUUCGUUUGCCUACAUAUUCUCCACCAUCAUCAUCAUCUUUAUCGUCAUCAUCGUAUCUUCUGUCGUCAGCGUGUCUACCGCGAGCAAGCAGAGGGGAAUGAGUGGAUAGAUGGGAACCCAAAUUGUCUAAAUGCGUUUUUUUGGGUGCAGCGAACGGCCUAGUAGUAAUUAAUUCCCCAUGGGCAACACUUUUUCUUGCAACGAGUGUGCAUAGGCAAGAAGAAAUCGAUUUACAUACUAUACUAUGGAAUGCCCCGAAUUCUAUUGUAUGGAAAAACUUCGCCAGAGACAAAUAUUAUUUCUGGCUUUUCUUGGGAAAAAAAGGGAAGGAAUCUCUUACAACUACAAUAAAUGCGCAAAAAAACAGUGAAAACUUGAUGGAGUGGAUACUUACGCAGGAUACUUGCUGCAUUUUGGUUCCACGCCUCAGAUAGAUGAGAAAUCAAUCUAGAAGGAAAUGGAGUGAAAGUAAAAUUAAAUAUAGGUUAAUGCAUAUGAAAAUUAUACAUAGGUGCGCCGCAAAUUU